GUUAAAAAGAUCUCAUAUUACGGCUUCUGCAAUGGAUGAAGAGGAAAUGUUAAGAUUUCUGAAUGACGAGAAUGAAGAAAAUGAUGAAAGUACUGCUUCAUGUAGUACCUACAUAUCCAAAAUUGAUAAAAAUAUUUUAAUAUCUGUGUCAGUUCAGGGCAUUCCUUCAUUUUUUACUAAAAUGGAAAAACUAUACAAGGCAGAAAAAGAUGAAGGGAAACUGGUGAGACAUCUUUUAGCUUCAACAAAGAACAGUGGAGGUCAAACUAAAUUAUUACAUAAUUUUAUUAAUUGCUUGUCAGCCUUUUUUAAAGAAAUUACUUCAGCGGGCAAAACUGAAAAAGAUCAACAAAAAAGAGAAAUAAAAUUGGAAAAAAAAUUUACUGAAAUGAGAUGUUCUGGUAUACAUUAUGUGAAUGUAAGUAAAGUCUGGCACCAAGUAUGUUCGGCACAUGCAGCCUAUGACACAUCUGUCCGAAACAGUAUCCUGCAAUUGAUGCUACAACAUUUCUGGGCUUCUGGUUUCAAGUUGAAUAGAAUUAACAACAACAUGUCUACAACAUCCCAUACCUAUGUGACAAACCCAGAUGAAACUGAAACAGAAACCAUUCUCGAUCAUGCCGGGUGGGCGAUAAAAAGAGCAAGAGACGUCAUAAAGAAGGGGGCUGAAAACUUGCAGCUAACGCAAAGUAAUGAUCCAGACUCACCACUCAUUAAUGCUAAUAAAACCACUGCCUUGACAAUCAUAAAAGAAUUAGGGGACGAUGUUGCCCAACAUGAUGGAACACACAGAUUUAAAGUACAUGACAAGGCUAGUUCUUUUUUCACUUACCUCCAUAUUCGAGUAGAAGAUCACCUGCAUGAAAACAUGGUCUCUGAGAGAGGCGAUGUGCUCCGGGAAUGCUUAGAGGCCUUGUCACUAGACAAGGAUUUAAGAACAAAAUGGA
This is a non-coding RNA of Paramuricea clavata, 947 nucleotides long. Lineage: Eukaryota; Metazoa; Cnidaria; Anthozoa; Malacalcyonacea; Plexauridae. The record is from the annotation of a GenBank genome assembly.